UACGUAGGUGGCAAGCGUUGUCCGGAUUUAUUGGGUUUAAAGGGCGCGUAGGCGGCUUUGUAAGUCAGUGGUGAAAUAUGGCAGCUCAACUGUCAGGGUGCCAUUGAUACUGCGGAGCUUGAGUACAGAUGAGGUAGGCGGAAUUGACGGUGUAGCGGUGAAAUGCUUAGAUAUCGUCAAGAACACCGAUAGCGAAGGCAGCUUACUGGGCUGUAACUGACGCUGAGGCACGAAAGUGUGGGGAUCAAACAGG
Molecule: ribosomal RNA, 253 nt
Filed under: uncultured bacterium
Lineage: Bacteria
Description: partial 16S ribosomal RNA
Rfam family: Bacterial small subunit ribosomal RNA
Source: RNAcentral